Molecule: ribosomal RNA, 231 nt
Filed under: uncultured bacterium
Lineage: Bacteria
Description: partial 16S ribosomal RNA
Rfam family: Bacterial small subunit ribosomal RNA
Source: RNAcentral
CGGAAUUACUGGGCGUAAAGGGCUCGUAGGCGGCCAACUAAGUCAGACGUGAAAUCCCUCGGCUUAACCGGGGAACUGCGUCUGAUACUGGAUGGCUUGAGUUUGGGAGAGGGAUGCGGAAUUCCAGGUGUAGCGGUGAAAUGCGUAGAUAUCUGGAGGAACACCGGUGGCGAAGGCGGCAUCCUGGACCAACACUGACGCUGAUGAGCGAAAGCCAGGGGAGCAAACGGG